CGUAGGUGGCAAGCGUUGUCCGGAUUUAUUGGGUUUAAAGGGUGCGUAGGCGGUUCCAUAAGUCAGUGGUGAAAUACGGCAGCUCAACUGCCGAGGUGCCAUUGAUACUGCGGAACUUGAGUACUGAUGAGGUAGGCGGAAUUGACGGUGUAGCGGUGAAAUGCUUAGAUAUCGUCAAGAACACCGAUAGCGAAGGCAGCUUACCAAGCAGUAACUGACGCUGAGGCACGAAAGUGCGGGGAUCAAACAGGAUUAGAUACCCUGGUAGUCCGCGCAGUAAACGAUGAUUACUCGAUGUUGGCGAUACACAGCCAGCGUCUUAGCGAAAGCGAUAAGUAAUCCACCUGGGGAGUACGCCCGCAAGGGUG
RNAcentral lists this ribosomal RNA (368 nucleotides) under uncultured organism. RNAcentral describes it as "bacterial SSU rRNA". It matches the Rfam family "Bacterial small subunit ribosomal RNA", at positions 526 to 896 of the family's 1533-position model. The record is from RNAcentral.